Leopardus geoffroyi (Geoffroy's cat) is the source of this 529-nucleotide long non-coding RNA. RefSeq lists it as uncharacterized. The record is from RefSeq and is a predicted model, not a curated record. Lineage: Eukaryota; Metazoa; Chordata; Mammalia; Carnivora; Felidae. The transcript has 4 exons.
GUUCAUAGGAUGGAGUAUCAUUUAAUGACCCCUAGCUCUCAAGAAACCUGCUCCCCACACCUGAAUUGUUAAAAUAUCCUGCCCUGACCAUAGAUAUCACCUUCCCCAGACAGAGGUGGAUGGGAGCCUCAGGUAUCCAGGGCCAAAGGAAUGGCAUGAUCCAUUCUGGUACAACAGACAAGAGCUAGUACCUUCCCCUCCACUCUCAGAUCCUCUCAGAAUGGGCCAGAGGCUCUGAUGUCUUCAAACCUUAUUGCCAAUCCAACCAGGCCUCAGCGGUUUCAUUUAGACAUGACUUAGGUAAGGAUGUGGCUCCCUCCUGGAUCACCUGCCUGACCCCGGGCCGAGAGACAGAUGGGAGUAUGCACUUGGCUUGCCAGCCCUGGGAACCCCACGCGGUGGGAAAGGGAACAGCAGCUCCCACAAACGGAAAAUGCCCCUAACAUACAGCAUUCUACAGCCACCCUGUCUGUUGGAGCAGCAGCGCCAGGUUUGAUGUGGCUAAAGGCGGGGCCAGACUGGGAGGAGC